Molecule: non-coding RNA, 582 nt
Organism: Chrysemys picta bellii (western painted turtle)
Lineage: Eukaryota; Metazoa; Chordata; Testudines; Emydidae
Source: the annotation of a RefSeq genome assembly
AGGCGCUGAGCUGCCCCUUGCGAGCUCUGUGUUGUCCCCGCCUAGCACACAAUGAACUCUCUGCUCCUCCCCCUGCUCCUCCUGGCUCUGGCCCCGGGUGUCCUGUCCCAGCUCCACCUCCAGGAGUCCGGCCCGGGGGUGGUGAAGCCUGGAGAGACGCUCACACUCACCUGCACUGUCACCGGGGGCACCAUCACUAGCAGCUACUGGUGGAACUGGAUACGCCAGGCCCCGGGCCAAGGGCUGGAGUGGAUGGGACUAUGGACCGGGAGCACAAGCUACGCCCCGUCUCUCCAAGGCCGAAUCACCAUCACCGUGGAUUCUUCCAACACCAAAUACUAUCUGCGGCUGAGCUCGCUGACAGCUACAGACACCGGCACCUAUUACUGCGCCAGAGACACAGUGACACAGGGCAGAGCAGGGACCGUACAAAAAGGGGAAGCAGAUUCUAAGCAAAGCAGUGGCCUCUCCCCGGUGCAGCUGGCCAAGACCGGCCUGGGAGCGGUGAAGCCCAGAGAGACCCUGAGUAUCACCUGUGUCCUCUCCCAGGUGCAGCUGAUCCAGACCGGCCGGGAGCGGUGA